RNAcentral lists this long non-coding RNA (665 nucleotides) under Olea europaea (common olive). RNAcentral describes it as "long non-coding RNA (OEUR_LNC012941)". Lineage: Eukaryota; Viridiplantae; Streptophyta; Magnoliopsida; Lamiales; Oleaceae. The record is from RNAcentral.
UCAAAUUUCAACUCAUACACCCCUCUAUAAAUUGACUUGAAUGAAAAAUUGUAUAAAUUGGGGGUCAUAAAUAUUUGCUAGCAAAAUUGAUAUAAGAGUCCACAUAUUUGUCAAGACAUCGAAAAAAUUAUCGUGGUUUGUGUAAGGCUCCAAACUUUUUCUUUUCGUUGCUUGGAUCUGUAGUGGCAUCUUCAAUGUGUCUCUUAUUCUUGUCCUUCGUUUGGUUAAUCAUCCCCAAACUUUGCGAGUUUAUGUUUAUGACCCUUGCAGCAGAUGGAUCGCUGGCGAAAACUUUCGACUGUGAGGAUAAGUAAAUAGAACGUGUGAUGCAACAAGUAGGGGUGUUAACCAUUUCGUUCUUGGGUUCGAUAAUUUCACAUGACUUGGAGAAAUCGCUUACUUGCUGAGUCUUGAUGUUACCAAUGGAGAAAUGUCGUUCCUGGACCGUCACGACUUGAGUCUCUCUGACAUUUUCUCACUAACCAUACUAAUCACAAUGGAGAUGUAUUUGUAUCAGCAACCAUGAUUUACGUUUCAACAACACGACUUAUAUAUUUUCACAAAGUAUUUCUAGGGUUUUAUAGUAGCUCGAUGUUGGUAAUAACAACAGAAAAUACAAAAUCAAAUGGUUAAAUUGUACAAUAUUGUAGCGAUUGCGGUGAGCA